This 421-nucleotide ribosomal RNA is filed under the name uncultured eukaryote. RNAcentral describes it as "bacterial SSU rRNA". It matches the Rfam family "Eukaryotic small subunit ribosomal RNA", at positions 592 to 1018 of the family's 1831-position model. The record is from RNAcentral.
CAAUAGCGUAUAUUAAAGUUGUUGCGGUUAAAAGCUCGUAGUUGGAUUUCUGUUUGGAGCGACCGGUCCGCCCUCUGGGCGAGCAUCUGGUCAGCUUUGAACAUCCUUCCGGAGAAUGUUUGGACGUUGAUUUGUUCUGAACGGGAUCUGGAACUUUUACUUUGAGGAAAUUAGAGUGUUCACUGCAGGCUUUCGCCUUGAAUACAUUAGCAUGGAAUAAUAAGAUAGGACCUUGGUUCUAUUUUGUCGGUUUCUAGAGCUGAGGUGAUGAUUAACAGGGAUAGUUGGGGCCAUUCGUAUUUAACUGUCAGAGGUGAAAUUCUUGGAUUUGUUAAAGACGAACUACUGCGAAAGCAUUUGGCAAGGAUGUUUUCAUUAAUCAAGAACGAAAGUUAGGGGAUCGAAGAUGAUCAGAUACCAU